Molecule: ribosomal RNA, 254 nt
Filed under: uncultured bacterium
Lineage: Bacteria
Description: partial 16S ribosomal RNA
Rfam family: Bacterial small subunit ribosomal RNA
Source: RNAcentral
UACGUAGGCAGCGAGCGUUGUUCGGAGUUACUGGGCGUAAAGGGUGUGUAGGCGGUUAUUUAAGUUUGGUGUGAAAUCUCCCGGCUCAACCGGGAGGGUGCGCCGAAUACUGAAUGACUUGGAGUGCGGGAGAGGUGAGUGGAAUUCCUGGUGUAGCGGUGAAAUGCGUAGAUAUCAAGCGGAACACCGGUGGCGAAGGCGGCCUUCUGGACAGUGACUGACGCUGAGACGCGAAAGCGUGGGGAGCGAACAGG